CUUACAUCCUGAAUUCUUGCAUUUUCUAGACAUGUGAAUUCCUGCUUCUGAAGAUCUUGUGUGAGCCUGACGGUCUUAUUUUUGCUGGUGAUGCAUCUCCAAUAAAAGAGAAGCUGCGUGAAAACCAAUAUAAACGAGUGGGGAAUUUCAUGGUUGAUGCAUAUGCAAUGAUUGAAAAUUUCCUGAAGGGACAGAGCAUUGAAGGGUCUGGAAACAAACUGAAACAGGAAUUUGACAAGAACUUCUAUAAAGCAUUUUCUAUUCAGUAGCUAUUUAACAUACCUUCAUACAUACAAUUUUUUCAGCUUUUCAUGUAUUAUUUAAAAGAGAACACUAAUCCUAAAUCUAAAAUUCAAAAGGUCAUGCCAGUUUUAAAAAAAUAUGCUUGAUAUUAUUAAUAAUUCUCAGCAUUUUAUUAGUCAGGUUUGCAGAACACUGUCUUGGAUCUUCUACAAAAAUCUGAACAGCUAUUUGGCUUUUAAAUGAGUUUACAGGAGUUAUUAUGAAGUCUGUAUUCUACAAACAUAUCACUGAUACAAGAGCUAUGAUCAUUCAUACCGUAUAAGGCCACUCAAUUUAAUAAAAUUGCCCUUUCCCUUAGGCA
RNAcentral lists this long non-coding RNA (604 nucleotides) under Salvator merianae (Argentine black and white tegu). Its description in RNAcentral is "lncRNA (ENSSMRG00000022049.1)". Lineage: Eukaryota; Metazoa; Chordata; Lepidosauria; Squamata; Teiidae. The record is from RNAcentral.